Long non-coding RNA from Arachis stenosperma, 366 nucleotides. RefSeq lists it as uncharacterized. NCBI's taxonomy places the organism in Eukaryota, Viridiplantae, Streptophyta, Magnoliopsida, Fabales, Fabaceae. The record is from RefSeq and is a predicted model, not a curated record. The transcript is spliced from 4 exons.
UCGUGAAAUUGUAUAAACGGUAACUGAAGAACCUGCAGUCUGUCUGCCCUAUGGUGUGUGCACCUGAAAAUACAUGGAGACAAGUAAUGGUUCUACGCUCGACACGUGUAGCAGUUUCUUGAAUGACAAGUGGCAUGCAGGGAGACCUGAAACGCAAUGAAUGAACAUUUUGAUUUAGUAUCAGAUGUGAACGCCAAAAAACUUGCAUGGAAUUUCAAAGUAUUUGUAAUAAGGGUGUGGACAACUCCAAACAAGUUCAAUGUCAACGAGAUUGGCUCCAUCGAAAUGGUACUUCAAGAUAAACAGGGUGGCAGGAUUUAUGCAACCAUACCAAGAUCCCUGGCAAAGAAAUACAUUAGUGUUAUU